UUAACUAUUGUAUAGUACUCAGACGACACUAACAUUCAGAGUUUAUAGGGCCUUCGGCGGGCCUGGCGGCCCGCCAAAGCAACGACGGUAACGAUAACAGUGGGUGGGAGAUCUACCCGUUAGGGCAUGAACUCUGUAAUGAUCCUUCCGCAGGUUCACCUACGGAAA
This 168-nucleotide unclassified non-coding RNA is filed under the name uncultured fungus. Its description in RNAcentral is "sequence contains ITS1". Lineage: Eukaryota; Fungi. The record is from RNAcentral.